RNAcentral lists this ribosomal RNA (535 nucleotides) under Alternaria sp. FF1. Its description in RNAcentral is "eukaryotic LSU rRNA". The stretch from base 161 to 314 matches the Rfam family "5.8S ribosomal RNA". The record is from RNAcentral. Lineage: Eukaryota; Fungi; Ascomycota; Dothideomycetes; Pleosporales; Pleosporaceae.
AUUAUGGAGGCGGGCUGGACCUCUCGGGGUUACAGCCUUGCUGAAUUAUUCACCCUUGUCUUUUGCGUACUUCUUGUUUCCUUGGUGGGUUCGCCCACCACUAGGACAAACAUAAACCUUUUGUAAUUGCAAUCAGCGUCAGUAACAAAUUAAUAAUUACAACUUUCAACAACGGAUCUCUUGGUUCUGGCAUCGAUGAAGAACGCAGCGAAAUGCGAUAAGUAGUGUGAAUUGCAGAAUUCAGUGAAUCAUCGAAUCUUUGAACGCACAUUGCGCCCUUUGGUAUUCCAAAGGGCAUGCCUGUUCGAGCGUCAUUUGUACCCUCAAGCUUUGCUUGGUGUUGGGCGUCUUGUCUCUAGCUUUGCUGGAGACUCGCCUUAAAGUAAUUGGCAGCCGGCCUACUGGUUUCGGAGCGCAGCACAAGUCGCACUCUCUAUCAGCAAAGGUCUAGCAUCCAUUAAGCCUUUUUUCAACUUUUGACCUCGGAUCAGGUAGGGAUACCCGCUGAACUUAAGCAUAUCAAUAAGCGGAGGAA